Molecule: non-coding RNA, 324 nt
Filed under: Pongo abelii (Sumatran orangutan)
Lineage: Eukaryota; Metazoa; Chordata; Mammalia; Primates; Hominidae
Source: RNAcentral
CUUGCCUUGCUGGAGAAGGGGCUCAAGGCACAGGACUUGCCUUGGACUUGCCUCGGACUUACCUAGGAGGCUUGUAGGAGGCUCUUUGUCUACUCCUCUAUCCUCAUCCAACAAAUGGUUGUUCCAGAAAAAAUGCAGCAACACCUGAACUCUUCUAAAGAAAAAGAAGACAAAAUGAUCUAGUGCAUCUCUGCCAUCCUGUUGAAGAUCCUAUUUGAAAAAAGGGAGACACAGAGAAAGGUUUUUUUUUUAAAGUGAUAGAAUAAUCCAAAGUUAAAAAUUCAACACAAUGGAAAAUAUUAAUUCAAUCCAUGCUGCAAACAA